This 209-nucleotide long non-coding RNA is filed under the name Mytilus galloprovincialis (Mediterranean mussel). The record is from RNAcentral. Lineage: Eukaryota; Metazoa; Mollusca; Bivalvia; Mytilida; Mytilidae.
GCUAGAGGUACAAGGAAGGGUUGAGAUCUCACAAACAUGUUUAAACCCGCCGCACUUUUGCGCCUGUCCCAAGUCAGGAGCCUCUGGCCUUUGUUAGUCUUGUAUUAUUUUAACUUUAAGUUUCUUGUGUACAAUUUGGAGUUUAGUAUAGCGUUCAUUAUCACUGAACUAGUAUAUAUUUGUUUAGGGGCCAGCUGAAAGACGCCUCC